This 148-nucleotide non-coding RNA is filed under the name Gorilla gorilla gorilla (western lowland gorilla). Lineage: Eukaryota; Metazoa; Chordata; Mammalia; Primates; Hominidae. The record is from Rfam by way of RNAcentral.
GCCGGGUGUGGUGGCGCACACCUGUAAUCCCAACUACUUGGGAGGCUGAUGCAGGAGAAUCGCUUGAACCCGGAAGGUGGAGGUUGCAGUGAGCUGCGAUCGUGCCACUGCACUCCAGCCUGGGUGACAGAGCAAGAUUCUGUCUCAA